GUCCACGCAGUAAACGAUGAUUACUAGGAGUUUGCGAUACAAUGUAAGCUCUACAGCGAAAGCGUUAAGUAAUCCACCUGGGGAGUACGCCGGCAACGGUGAAACUCAAAGGAAUUGACGGGGGCCCGCACAAGCGGAGGAACAUGUGGUUUAAUUCGAUGAUACGCGAGGAACCUUACCCGGGUUUGAACGUAGUCUGACCGGAGUGGAAACACUCCUUCUAGCAAUAGCAGAUUACGAGGUGCUGCAUGGUUGUCGU
This 259-nucleotide ribosomal RNA is filed under the name uncultured bacterium. RNAcentral describes it as "partial 16S ribosomal RNA". It matches the Rfam family "Bacterial small subunit ribosomal RNA", at positions 793 to 1055 of the family's 1533-position model. The record is from RNAcentral.